This 252-nucleotide ribosomal RNA is filed under the name uncultured bacterium. Its description in RNAcentral is "partial 16S ribosomal RNA". It matches the Rfam family "Bacterial small subunit ribosomal RNA", at positions 793 to 1055 of the family's 1533-position model. The record is from RNAcentral.
GUCCGCACCGUAACGAUGAUUACUCGUUGUUGGCGAUAUGACAGUCAGCGACCAAGCGAAGCGAUAAGUAAUCCACCUGGGAGUACGCCGGCAACGGUGAACUCAAGGAAUUGACGGGCCCGCACAAGCGGAGGAGCAUGUGGUUUAAUUCGAUGAUACGCGAGGAACCUUACCUGGGCUUGAAAGUUAGCGACCGGUCCUGAAAGGGAUCUUCCAGCAAUGGCGCGAAACUAGGUGCUGCAUGGCUGUCGU